GCCCCGCCCCGUUGCCAUUCCUAAUGCCAUGACUUUGUUGCCUCUCAGAAUUUAAGAUAUGAUUUGGGUAUUGAACCUUGGGAGAAGAGGAUUUUGUCUGUCAAUGGAGUAGGCCAUGAGACCCGAAGCAUUGAGAUUGAUGGUGACCGAACCAGAGUGGUGGCGGAGUGGCAGUGACAAUGAUAGUAAUAGAUAAGUGGAGGUGAAGAAAUUAUGGUUUGAAAUGUUUGGGUGCAAGGAGAAGAAUUAAUAGUAGGGAAUUGUAAAAAUGUAAAAUAAAAUUUUAAUAUUUUAAGGGUGUA
Camellia sinensis is the source of this 302-nucleotide non-coding RNA. Lineage: Eukaryota; Viridiplantae; Streptophyta; Magnoliopsida; Ericales; Theaceae. The record is from RefSeq and is a predicted model, not a curated record.